CGGUUGAUCCUGCCGGACCCUACUGCUAUCGGGAUAGGACUUAGACAUGCUAGUCGUGCGUCUCCCACUAUGUUUGGAGGGCGCGACAUACGGCUCAGUAACACGCGGCUAACCUACCCUUAGGACAGAGAUAACCCCGGGAAACUGGGGCUAAUAUCUGAUAGGUGAAAAUUCCUGGAGUGGAUUUUCGCCCAAAAGACGUCUAAAUCAUGCUUUGGACGUCGCCUAAGGAUGGGGCCGCGUCCGAUCAGGUUGUUGGUGAGGUAAUGGCUCACCAAACCUUUGACCGGUACGGGCCGCGGGAGCGGUAGCCCGGAGAUGGACACUGAGACAAGGGUCCAGGCCCUACGGGGCGCAGCAGGCGCGAAAACUCCGCAAUACACGAAAGUGUGACGGGGCUAUCCCGAGUGCCGUCCGCUGAGGAUGGCUUUUCCUCAGUGUAAGGAGCUGGAGGAAUAAGGAGAGGGCAAGUCUGGUGUCAGCCGCCGCGGUAAUACCAGCUCUCCGAGUAGUAGGGACGUUUAUUGGGCUUAAAGCGUCCGUAGCUGGCUCAACAAGUCCCCUGUUAAAUCCAACGAUUCAAUCGUUGGACUGCAGGGGAUACUGUUGGGCUGGGAGUCGGGAGAGGCCGACGGUAUUCCCGGAGUAGGGGUGAAAUCCUAUAAUUCCGGGAGGACCACCAGUGGCGAAGGCGGUCGGCUAGAACGAGCUCGACGGUGAGGGACGAAAGCUGGGGGAGCGAACCGGAUUAGAUACCCGGGUGGUCCCAGCUGUAAACGAUGCGGGCUAGGUGUUAGGGUGGCUACGUGCCACCCUAGUGCCGCAGCGAAAGCAUUAAGCCCGCCGCCUGGGGAGUACGGCCGCAAGGCUGAAACUUAAAGGAAUUGGCGGGGGAGCAC
Molecule: ribosomal RNA, 899 nt
Filed under: uncultured archaeon
Lineage: Archaea
Description: bacterial SSU rRNA
Rfam family: Archaeal small subunit ribosomal RNA
Source: RNAcentral